AUGAUUGGUAUCUUUUGGAAUAUUAGAGGUUUGGGCCAAAAAGGGAAACUACAGUGCCUGUCUGACUUAGUUAACAAGUAUAAGCCUAAUUUUUUAGGAUUUCAAGAAAUUAAGAGAGAGACCUUGUCUGACUCUUUUCUCAAUGCCCUAGCUGGCUCUAUUGCUUAUGAUUGGCAUAUGCUACCUGCUGUAGGCUCUGCUGGGGGUAUCCUUGUGGGUACUAAAUCUGAUCUUUUUGAGGUGCUUAGUGUUAGUAAUAAGAAUUAUUGCAUUAUCAUAACCUUAAAAAACAAAAAUGAUGGUUUCUGCUGGCAUUUGAUUGUGGUUUAUGGCACAGCUUAUGCUGUAGACAAACUUGACUUUCUUGCUGAACUACAUGAAAGUAUGGAUGACUUGUGCUAUCCUGUCCUAUUUGGGGGUGACUUCAAUCUGAUUAGAGAGGCUAAAGAUAAAUCCUCAGACAAUAUAAACACUUCUUGGACAUUCUUGUUCAAUGACUGGAUAAAUAAAUGGGGCCUUAUGGAGUAUAAGCUGUCUAACAGGGUUUAUACCUGGAGUAAUAAUCAGGACAAUCCCAUCUUUGCCACUAUUGACAGAGUUUUCUCUGCUACUAGCUGGGACAUUCACUUCCCUCUCACCACUUUGUGUGCACUACCUAGGGUGGGAAGUGACCAUGCCCCAAUUCUCCUUGACUCUGGGGUGGGUACUUGUAACCCAUCCAGACCCUUUAAAUUUGAGAAGUGGUGGCUGGAACAACCAGAUUUCGAGCCUUGGUAG
This 777-nucleotide ribosomal RNA is filed under the name Triticum aestivum (bread wheat). RNAcentral describes it as "partial small subunit ribosomal RNA". The record is from RNAcentral. Lineage: Eukaryota; Viridiplantae; Streptophyta; Magnoliopsida; Poales; Poaceae.